Molecule: ribosomal RNA, 406 nt
Filed under: uncultured bacterium
Lineage: Bacteria
Description: bacterial SSU rRNA
Rfam family: Bacterial small subunit ribosomal RNA
Source: RNAcentral
GACGAACGCUGGCGGCGUGCUUAACACAUGCAAGUCGAGCGGUAAGGCCCUUUCGGGGGUACACGAGCGGCGAACGGGUGAGUAACACGUGGGUGACCUGCCUUUAGCUCUGGGAUAAGCCUGGGAAACUGGGUCUAAUACCGGAUAUGACUCCAUGAUGCAUGUUGUGGGGUGGAAAGCCUUGUGCGGCUGGAGAUGGGCCCGCGGCCUAUCAGCUUGUUGGUGGGGUGAUGGCCUACCAAGGCGACGACGGGUAGCCGGCCUGAGAGGGCGACCGGCCACACUGGGACUGAGACACGGCCCAGACUCCUACGGGAGGCAGCAGUGGGGAAUCUUGCGCAAUGGGCGAAAGCCUGACGCAGCGACGCCGCGUGAGGGAUGACGGCCUCGGUGUAACGUACUUCUA